This 253-nucleotide ribosomal RNA is filed under the name uncultured bacterium. Its description in RNAcentral is "partial 16S ribosomal RNA". It matches the Rfam family "Bacterial small subunit ribosomal RNA", at positions 524 to 776 of the family's 1533-position model. The record is from RNAcentral.
UACGAAGGGGGCUAGCGUUGUUCGGAAUUACUGGGCGUAAAGCGCGCGCAGGCGGUCUUCCAAGUCAGUGGUGAAAGCCCGGAGCUCAACUCCGGAACUGCCAUUGAAACUGUUAGACUUGAGGAUGAGAGAGGUGAGUGGAAUUCCCAGUGUAGAGGUGAAAUUCGUAGAUAUUGGGAAGAACACCGGUGGCGAAGGCGGCUCACUGGCUCAUUACUGACGCUCAGGCGCGAUAGCGUGGGGAUCAAACGGG